This 367-nucleotide ribosomal RNA is filed under the name uncultured organism. RNAcentral's name for it is "bacterial SSU rRNA". It matches the Rfam family "Bacterial small subunit ribosomal RNA", at positions 526 to 896 of the family's 1533-position model. The record is from RNAcentral.
CGGAGGGUGCAAGCGUUAUCCGGAUUACUGGGUUUAAAGGGUACGUAGGUGGGUUGGUAAGUCAGUGGUGAAAUCUUCGAGCUUAACUCGGAAACUGCCAUUGAUACUAUCAAUCUUGAAUUAUCUGGAGGUAAGCGGAAUAUGUCAUGUAGCGGUGAAAUGCUUAGAUAUGACAUAGAACACCCAUUGCGAAGGCAGCUUACUACGGAUACAUUGACACUGAGGCACGAAAGCGUGGGGAUCAAACAGGAUUAGAUACCCUGGUAGUCCACGCCCUAAACGAUGGAUACUCGACAUCAGCGAUACACUGUUGGUGUCUGAGCGAAAGCAUUAAGUAUCCCACCUGGGAAGUACGAUCGCAAGAUUG